GCCGUUGGUAGACGAGUGUGUGUGUUUGGUGUGGUGUAAGAGGGAGGAGGUGAGAGAUAGCUGCCCGUCUUUUUUAGGGCACUUCGGGCAGUGUCUUCAUCCGUAAAUAUCUAACUUUUUGGGUUCACAAGUUGGAAAGUUGUCAAUGAUGCCACAUCAGCUCAGGUGGUUGAAUGACAACUCAUAAGUGAUGGAAUGCCAGCUCAUAGAAUUCAGUUCGAGUGUUAGUUAGUUAGUUUUUCAUGUAUAUAAUCAAACAACAUAUUGUCAUGUAUUCAUUCAUUCAGUUUUCUUCUCAACAUUAUGUGAAAUACAACACUCUCUCUCUAGCUUGA
Molecule: long non-coding RNA, 335 nt
Organism: Daucus carota subsp. sativus
Lineage: Eukaryota; Viridiplantae; Streptophyta; Magnoliopsida; Apiales; Apiaceae
Exons: 2
Source: RefSeq, a predicted model, not a curated record